GCUACCAUGCAGUCGACGGAACGAUACUAGCUUGCUAGUAGGCGUCGAGUGGCGGACGGGUGAGUAACGCGUAGGAAUCUGCCUGAUAGUGGGGGAUAGCCCGAAGAAAUUCGGAUUAAUACCGCAUAAUCUAUUCGUAGUAAAGUGGGGGACUUUCGAGCCUCACGCUAUCAGAUGAGCCUGCGUAAGAUUAGCUUGUUGGUAGGGUAAAAGCCUACCAAGGCGACGAUCUUUAGCUGGUCUGAGAGGAUGAUCAGCCACAUCGGGACUGAGACACGGCCCGAACUCCUACGGGAGGCAGCAGUGGGGAAUAUUGGACAAUGGGGGCAACCCUGAUCCAGCAAUACCGCGUGUGUGAAGAAGGCCUGAGGGUUGUAAAGCACUUUCAAUUGUGAAGAAAAGUUAGCGGUUAAUAACCGUUAGCCUUGACGUUAACUUUAGAAGAAGCACCGGCUAACUCCGUGCCAGCCGCCGGGGGUAAAUAA
RNAcentral lists this ribosomal RNA (485 nucleotides) under bacterium enrichment culture clone PSHTC-010. RNAcentral's name for it is "bacterial SSU rRNA". It matches the Rfam family "Bacterial small subunit ribosomal RNA", at positions 48 to 528 of the family's 1533-position model. The record is from RNAcentral.